This 192-nucleotide ribosomal RNA is filed under the name Acidobacteriota bacterium. RNAcentral describes it as "Acidobacteria bacterium (sponge metagenome) partial 16S ribosomal RNA". It matches the Rfam family "Bacterial small subunit ribosomal RNA", at positions 1 to 190 of the family's 1533-position model. Lineage: Bacteria; Pseudomonadati; Acidobacteriota. The record is from RNAcentral.
CAACUUGAGAGUUUGAUCCUGGCUCAGAAUCAACGCUGGCGGCGUGCCUCAUACAUGCAAGUCGAACGCGAACGCGGCCUUCGGGCCGCAAGUAGAGUGGCAGACGGGUGAGUAACGCGUGGGUGACCUGCCUUCGAGUGGGGGAUAACCUUCCGAAAGGGGGGCUAAUACCGCAUAACAUCCCGCCCUUGG